UACAGAGGGUGCAAGCGUUGUUCGGAAUUAUUGGGCGUAAAGCGCGUGUAGGCGGCUUUGCAAGUCGGGUGUGAAAGCCCUCGGCUCAACCGAGGAAGUGCGCCCGAAACUGCAGAGCUUGAGUACCGGAGAGGGUAGCGGAAUUCCCCAAGUAGAGGUGAAAUUCGUAGAUAUGGGGAGGAACACCGGUGGCGAAGGCGGCUGCCUGGAUGGAUACUGACGCUGAGACGCGAAAGCGUGGGUAGCAAACAGG
This 253-nucleotide ribosomal RNA is filed under the name uncultured bacterium. Its description in RNAcentral is "partial 16S ribosomal RNA". It matches the Rfam family "Bacterial small subunit ribosomal RNA", at positions 524 to 776 of the family's 1533-position model. The record is from RNAcentral.